This is a long non-coding RNA of Cuculus canorus (common cuckoo), 1188 nucleotides long. RefSeq lists it as uncharacterized. The transcript has 3 exons. NCBI's taxonomy places the organism in Eukaryota, Metazoa, Chordata, Aves, Cuculiformes, Cuculidae. The record is from RefSeq and is a predicted model, not a curated record.
AUUUCCUUCUCACUUGCGAGAAGACAACUAGUUCAAUUUCAUUCUUUUAUGGGAAGAUUGCUAGUACACUUAAUCAUUUUAAAUAAACCUGGUUUAUCUUUAAAUCUGCCUUAGUCAUAUUUAAUCUAUUUCUAUUGUGAUCAUCCUUAUACUUUCUUUUUCAGGGUUUUAUUCUGAAUGAAUAGUUAACAAAUAUCCCCAUAUUAACGUUUCCCUAGUUUAAAGUUUAUUUAUCUAAUUUUGUUUUCAUUAUGGAACCUUCAGUAUUCUUCCUUUCCUCUUGUGAUACUUUAGAACUAGUUGACCUUUAUUAAAUAGAUUGUGAAUAUACACCCUUGACUAAUACUGUUUCGGGAAGUCACUGAAGUUGUUUUGUAGGGUUUUUUCUUUAAAGAAUAUCUCAGAAGAAGGUCAAAGCAUUUCAUUUUGCUCUUGCAACCCCUUAUCCUGCAGAAUGAGGACUGUUUUAGUUGGGAACAGUCAUACAUAUGAGCUAGGCUGUUUAAACUUGAGUAGCACAGGAUGGAAAAAGCAUGGUUAAAACUCUAGUGCUGAAGUAUUUGGGACAGCAGAGUGGCAGCAGAUGCUUUUCACAUCACACUUAAUCGGGCAGAAAACAAAUGCAAAAAAAGUUUCAUUUUCUUUUGUGUACCAAUAAAAGAGAACCAGUGUGCUGGGUUAGAGUGAAACGGACUGAAAAAUAUCCUGAAAACCGAGUUACUGCUUCUUUUUUUUCUUAUAGUAGUUUUACAUGGCCAUCAUGUUAAAUAACAAGGAAAAAUGUAUCCCCGCUGUCUGCUCUUAAGCAGAAGUCUGAAGUUGAAUCACUGAAGACAUUCCUAAGAAUAGUAUAUUUUAGAAACGACUUCUUUGUUUCAUGAUUAUGUAAAGAUACAUGAGAACAUUCUCUAAUAUAAACAAGUCUCUGAAUGAUUGUCUGGAAAGUUGUCAAUAUAAUUUUUCAAAUAUUGCUUAAGGAAAGAGCUCAAAAGAUGUGAUUUCAGUGUAUCUUACAGACAAAUGCUUGUUUGCAUUUACAAGAAAAUAAAUAAUAUAUACCAUAUAUCAAAAUACCUUUCCAAGCUAUACAAACUUUACCCUGUUUUUAACUUCGAAAGCAUCUCUGCCUCUAAAUGUCAGCAAACUUUUGUAGCAUUUAUGCCCUGUUUUCUUCUAUACAGUCCUUAC